GGCAGGCCUAACACAUGCAAGUCGAACGAGAUCUUCGGAUCUAGUGGCGGACGGGUGAGUAACGCGUGGGAACGUGCCCUUCUCUACGGAAUAGUCCUGGGAAACUGGGUUUAAUACCGUAUACGCCCUUCGGGGGAAAGAAUUUCGGGGAAGGAUCGGCCCGCGUUGGAUUAGGUAGUUGGUGGGGUAAUGGCCUACCAAGCCGACGAUCCAUAGCUGGUUUGAGAGGAUGAUCAGCCACACUGGGACUGAGACACGGCCCAGACUCCUACGGGAGGCAGCAGUGGGGAAUCUUAGACAAUGGGGGCAACCCUGAUCUAGCCAUGCCGCGUGAGUGACGAAGGCCCUAGGGUCGUAAAGCUCUUUCGCCAGGGAUGAUAAUGACAGUACCUGGUAAAGAAACCCCGGCUAACUCCGUGCCAGCAGCCGCGGUAAUACGGAGGGGGUUAGCGUUGUUCGGAAUUACUGGGCGUAAAGCGCACGUAGGCGGACUAUUAAGUCAGAGGUGAAAUCCCGGGGCUCAACCCCGGAACUGCCUUUGAUACUGGUAGUCUUGAGUUCGAGAGAGGUGAGUGGAAUUCCGAGUGUAGAGGUGAAAUUCGUAGAUAUUCGGAGGAACACCAGUGGCGAAGGCGGCUCACUGGCUCGAAACUGACGCUGAGGUGCGAAAGCGUGGGGAGCAAA
This 684-nucleotide ribosomal RNA is filed under the name uncultured organism. RNAcentral's name for it is "bacterial SSU rRNA". It matches the Rfam family "Bacterial small subunit ribosomal RNA", at positions 41 to 772 of the family's 1533-position model. The record is from RNAcentral.